GUGCUCACUUGGGCAGCACAGAUACUAAAAUUGGAACAGUACAGAGAAGAUUAGCAAGGAUCCUGCAUAAGAAGAAGAUGCAAAUUCAGGAAAUAUUUCUUAUUUUU
Small nuclear RNA from Camelus dromedarius (Arabian camel), 107 nucleotides. NCBI's taxonomy places the organism in Eukaryota, Metazoa, Chordata, Mammalia, Artiodactyla, Camelidae. The record is from Ensembl.